GUUUUCAUUUAAAGCAUUACAAUCAACUUCAUUUACACAUUCAUUGGAAUGGAAAGGCUUGAAUGGAUGGAAAAUACAAUUGCAAGAUCAACACUGAUUUUGCCUAUUGCCUUCUCUCCUGAUUUAUCUGCCCAUCUUCAUGGUGCUUCUUCAUGUUUUCCUCCUGUUUUUGUUUUCCUGAUCACCUUAACCAAUUGAUCCGAAGAAAAGCAAGUCCAAUAAAAAUGCAAUGAAUCUCAAACUCUAACGACCCAUAAACCGAUAAAAAUAAACUUGACAAGGAUAAACAUGGCUGGUGAAUGUGAUGCUUUUUGGGAAACAAAAUGAAAUCAAAUGGAGAAACAAAACAGCGGACUUUUAUUCACUACUAUAAUAAUCGUAAUAAUCAUUCUGAUAAUAACAACAACAAUAAUAAUGUAAUGCCAAGUAAGCCUAUAAAAAUAUCCUGUUUAUGAUGAAAAGUUGAAGGAAACAAAAAAAAAGGUUUGGUGUUGAUAAGGAAUGGCAAAAGUCUACAGAAAGGGAAACAUGAUGAUGAUGAACAUGGAAAAGAUGCGCAAAAAAAUAUUUUGUCAAAACACAAUUGUAAAGCUGCUUUGAAUUAUGUUAAUGGAAAAGUGGAAUCCAAAGGAAAAGCUUUAAAAGAUACACAAAAUGGAUACACACAAGAAAAGAAAAGCAAAUCAAGGGAAACAAAAUUCAAGAUGAGAUGACAUUUUCAUUAUAAAUACUAAAAUAUGAAAAUCGAAAAUGGAAAGAAUCGAAAAAAUGUUGGACUGGAAAUUUACGACUAAAUAGACAACACGGUAAACACACUCACACAUAAGGUUCAAUUACAUUAAAUUGGUGAUGAUAAUAAUGGAUGGAAACAUUUGUUAACAAACAACAAGCAAACCCUGUUGACUGAAUACAAGUGGUGAAAACAAGGCGCAAAUCAACAUGUUCAAGUGCAUGUUAGUCAAAAGAGUUGGUGUUGUCAGUUGAAGAUGAACAAAGAUGAGUCUUUGUCAUUGAUUGCCUUGUCAAGAGCCUUUUCAAUAUCAUCCUCUUAUCCAUGCAAAUAGCCCUUGUAAAACUGGCUAAUAAUGGUAAUACAAUUUUGGAUACAAAUGAAUGGAGUUACGUUACAGGCAGUUCAAGUUAAUCGCUCUAAUUUACCAAAUUUUAUUGUGUUUAUCGUUUCCACUCAUCAUCAUCAAUGCAUCUCAAAGUAGACCAACACGCGAUCAAAGUAUUUAUCAUCAUUUUAAUGGCGGCCAAACACGAGAUGUUCAAUGAAUCUGCAGUCUUGUCCUCAUUCAAUUUUCAACUCAUCACCAUUCCAUACAUUUAAAUAUUCAAUAUUUUCCUAUUAUCUUGGCAAACAAAUAAUUGUUGCACAUUAUCCAGAUCAAUAUCAACCUUUUGGUUAAUUGAAUCAAUCAAGUAAUUGACCGAAAUCCCGUUUCGCCAGUUUAAUCAACUAACAUCCAGAUAUAAAUUAUAAUAAAAGUGGACAAAAAAAGGAAAACUGUUUUUUUCGCUUUUUAUCAAAUUCAUGUCACCCAAACUUUUCAAUUGGCUCUUCGUCAAACUUCACAUUAUAAUACAAUCAGAUGGAAUGAAAUUUUAUCAGCAACACACAAAAAAAGAGAAGAAAAAGUUCACCAAGAAAAAAGCUCCAAUGAAUCUGAAUGGAAAGCUGAAUGUGUUCUGAAUAUUAACCUUUUCACUUUUUGUGAUCAACUUUCAUUAUUAUUGCUAUUAUUAUUAUAUAUUGCCAUCCAAAAACCUCCGAAGUAUCAUCAAAAUACAGUCUAUUCAAGCAUUACUUUAAAGAAUCUAAAAAAAGUUAAAUGUUUCUCCAUUCUUUUCCUUUUCAUAUUAUUAUCAAUUGAAUAUUAUUUCAUCAAAUUCACCUUCAAGCCAUCAAAACAACCCAAAGAGAAACAGAAGUUCAAGAGUUUUUCAUCCUUCAUUGAGACAGAAUUUACAGUUACAAUUCACAAUAUCUUCAUUCACUUCUCAUCAAUUCAUUUCAUCUUCAAAAUUCUCAUAUCAAUCUUCAACAAGGAAAAAGCAAAGAACCAAAGAAAGCAAAAAAAAGACUAACAGUAAAUAGAUUACGUUCAAUUGUUUCCAUUGGCAUAAUAUCAAAUUUAAAAGCUUGUUUCUGAAACUCUUCGCAUCUUAAUGCUUCUCCUCAUCAUCAUCAUCAUCUUACCAUAAACAGUCCCAAGAACAAAGGAAUUAAUCUCAAGAGUAUUUCCAUCAAUAGAAGCAUACAAAUUCAGAUAUCUUCUCUGGAUCCUAACUCAUCUUCCAUCAUGCUAAUAAGCCAUACUGACUUGAAAGUAAAAAUUUAUAUUUCCAUCAAAUAUUGGAAUAAUGUUUCACUUACGGAUCAAAAAAAGAGCCAAAAAACCUCUGAAUAAUAUUCUGGAAACUAAUUAAUAUUGAUAAAUCAAAAAGUGUUUCAAAAAAUGUGAUUCAAUGAAAGGUAAAAAGCAAGUUGAAAGGGAAGAAAGGUUCUGAAGCAAAUUUUAAGUAAAUUUCAAUGUCUCAACCAACCAAGUAAACCAAGUUAAAAUGGUAUUGACUUGGUUUCCUUCAGUAAAAUGAAUUUCAAAUUUAA
Molecule: non-coding RNA, 2614 nt
Organism: Tetranychus urticae (two-spotted spider mite)
Lineage: Eukaryota; Metazoa; Arthropoda; Arachnida; Trombidiformes; Tetranychidae
Source: RefSeq, a predicted model, not a curated record